This 1438-nucleotide long non-coding RNA is filed under the name Ricinus communis (castor bean). Its description in RNAcentral is "long non-coding RNA (RCOM_LNC001703)". The record is from RNAcentral. Lineage: Eukaryota; Viridiplantae; Streptophyta; Magnoliopsida; Malpighiales; Euphorbiaceae.
GCCCGGUAAGUUUUGUUCUUGAUAGAUCGGUCCAUUUGUUGUCACUAAUGUGUUGCCCUAUGGUGCAGCGAAAAUUAAAAGCUUGGAUUCGGAUAAAAUUUUCAAAGUGGAUGGUCAUAGAUUCAAGAUCUUCCAUGAGGGUGAAAUUGUUCCAUGUCUCAUUAGUUUUCCUUUGGAUCACACCACUUAUUUGGAUGGCUCAAAUGUCUCAUCAUUCCGUCGAGCAUAAUAACGUUAAACAAUUGCGCUAUUGGGAGGCAACCCAAAUACUUUCUUUAUUUUUAUUUAUACUUUUUAUUUUCUUUCACUUAGUUUAUUUUAUUUUUAGUUUUUAGUUUUUUUUUAAUGAAGAAGUUUUUUUUUUUUGCAGGAGAUUAAUUUCAAUAAGGUGUGACCACGUCUUUUUACAGCUCUCCAAGAUGCAUCAACCAAAUUUUUUCCAGAAGAUCAUUUUUUAUAAGCUGUGAUCGCGUCUAAUCUCAAACCACCUUUUGAUUUGUUUUGACUUCUUUACUUUAUUUUUCAGAAGAUGGUUUUUUUAUAAGCCGCGGCCACAUCUUAUCUUAAACCACCUUCUGAUUUGUUUUAACCUCUUUACUUUAUUUUUCAGAAGCUUAUUUUUUAUAAGCUGUGACCACGUCUUAUCUCAAACCCACUUCUGAUUUGUUUUGACUUCUCUACUUUAUUUUUUUGGUAUUUUAUUAUUAUUAUUUAUUUUUGUGCUUAAAAAAGAGAGAGAAAAGAAUAGAGAACGUUUUAUUUUGCAGCAGCCACCAAUAUUUUAUUUUAUUUUGCAACAGCCACCAAUGUUUUAUUUUCUUUUGCAGCAGCCACCAACGCUUUAUUUUCUUUUGCAGCAGCCAUCACCAAAACUUCCUAUUUUCACUGGAGGGUUCUACCUCCUUGCUUACCAUCACCAGAGACUACUCAGUCUGAGUUGCUCUUAAAUCAGGAGAGUUUCAUAUUUCUUUUCAUUUCUUUUGUGAACCAUUUUCUUUUUUAUACAUUGAGGACAAUGUAUAGUUUAGGUGUGGGGGAGGAAUAUGAUAAUUACAUGAUUUCCUUUUCUUUUUAAAAAUAUUUUUUUAUGCUUAGAAUUAGGUAUGCUUUAAUUCAUAUGUGCUAAUUUUUCUUUUACAACCUUGAGUUUUGUUUUGAUAACCUAGAAUACCAUGUAAGAUACAUUUUUUGUUUGAGUUUUAAUGCAUGAAUGGGACAAGCAUGAUUAGUGUUUCUUUAAAAUUAUUUGAUGGUAUCUCAUUAGUUUAUUGAUUGAAAAAUGCAAGAGACUUGAUACAAAUUUGAACAUUCAAGUGAGCUUUUGAGCCAAAGAGCAAUUCAUUAUAUUCUGCUCUAAUUAUUUUUGUUGAGUGUUAUCAAACUUAGUAUAUUUAUUCUAGAACUUGCUUGUAAAUGCAUGUUGAGACCACAUCUUUGG